ACGCUGGCGGCGUGCCUAAUACAUGCAAGUAGAACGCUGAAGAGAGGAGCUUGCUCUUCUUGGAUGAGUUGCGAACGGGUGAGUAACGCGUAGGUAACCUGCCUGGUAGCGGGGGAUAACUAUUGGAAACGAUAGCUAAUACCGCAUAAAAUUGAUUAUUGCAUGAUAAUUAAUUGAAAGAUGCAAUUGCAUCACUACCAGAUGGACCUGCGUUGUAUUAGCUAGUUGGUGAGGUAACGGCUCACCAAGGCGACGAUACAUAGCCGACCUGAGAGGGUGAUCGGCCACACUGGGACUGAGACACGGCCCACACUCCUACGGGAGGCAGCAGUAGGGAAUCUUCGGCAAUGGGGGGAACCCUGACCGAGCAACGCCGCGUGAGUGAAGAAGGUUUUCGGAUCGUAAAGCUCUGUUGUAAGAGAAGAACGGGUGUGAGAGUGGAAAGUUCACACUGUGACGGUAUCUUACCAGAAAGGGACGGCUAACUACGUGCCAGCAGCCGCGGUAAUACGUAGGUCCCGAGCGUUGUCCGGAUUUAUUGGGCGUAAAGCGAGCGCAGGCGGUUAGAUAAGUCUGAAGUUAAAGGCUGUGGCUUAACCAUACUAUGCUUUGGAAACUGUUUAACUUGAGUGCAGAAUGGGAGAGUGGAAUUCCAUGUGUAGCGAUGAAAUGCGUAGAUAUAUGGAGGAACACCGGUGGCGAAAGCGGCUCUCUGGUCUGUAACUGACGCUGAGGCUCGAAAGCGUGGGGAGCAAAACAGGAUUAGAUACCCUGGUAGUCCACGCCGUAAACGAUGAGUGCUAGGUGUUAGGCCCUUUCCGGGGCUUAGUGCCGCAGCUAACGCAUUAAGCACUCCGCCUGGGGAGUACGACCGCAAGGUUGAAACUCAAAGGAAUUGACGGGGGCCCGCACAAGCGGUGGAGCAUGUGGUUUAAUUCGAAGCAACGCGAAGAACCUUACCAGGUCUUGACAUCCCUCUGACCGCUCUAGAGAUAGAGUUUUCCUUCGGGACAGAGGUGACAGGUGGUGCAUGGUUGUCGUCAGCUCGUGUCGUGAGAUGUUGGGUUAAGUCCCGCAACGAGCGCAACCCCUAUUGUUAGUUGCCAUCAUUCAGUUGGGCACUCUAGCGAGACUGCCGGUAAUAAACCGGAGGAAGGUGGGGAUGACGUCAAAUCAUCAUGCCCCUUAUGACCUGGGCUACACACGUGCUACAAUGGCUGGUACAACGAGUCGCAAGCCGGUGACGGCAAGCUAAUCUCUGAAAGCCAGUCUCAGUUCGGAUUGUAGGCUGCAACUCGCCUACAUGAAGUCGGAAUCGCUAGUAAUCGCGGAUCAGCACGCCGCGGUGAAUACGUUCCCGGGCCUUGUACACACCGCCCGUCACACCACGAGAGUUUGUAACACCCGAAGUCGGUGAGGUAACCGCAAGGAGCCAGCCGCCUAAGGUGGGAUAGAUGAUUAGGGU
RNAcentral lists this ribosomal RNA (1465 nucleotides) under uncultured organism. RNAcentral describes it as "SSU rRNA". It matches the Rfam family "Bacterial small subunit ribosomal RNA". The record is from RNAcentral.